AUGAACCCCUCCUCUGCCCCGGGUCCUGAUAGGUUGCCAGUGAUGUUUUUCAAAACGUUCUGGUAGACCAUCAAACCGGAAGUCAUGGCCCUCUUUGAUGAAUUCUACUCGAGGGCUAUGGACCUUGGGCGCCCAAACUAUGGGGUCAUCACACUCAUCCCCAAAGUUCCGGGCGCCUCUGACAUCCGCCAGUUUCGGCCUAUCACUGUGAUCAAUGUGAUAUUCCGGAUCUUGGCCAAGGGGUACGUCAAUAGGGUGACCCUUCUCGCUGACACCGUUACUCACCCCAGCCAAUCCGCCUUCAUCCAAGGGCGGUUUAUUCUGGAUGGGGUGUUA
This 336-nucleotide ribosomal RNA is filed under the name Triticum aestivum (bread wheat). RNAcentral describes it as "partial small subunit ribosomal RNA". The record is from RNAcentral. Lineage: Eukaryota; Viridiplantae; Streptophyta; Magnoliopsida; Poales; Poaceae.